CUUCCUGUUUUCCCUCAACACUUGCUCUGGGCAGGUCUGCUAUUCUCUUUGGCCUGACUCCACACAACUGGCGUGGGCAUCUCCUCUCCGGACUUGGGGGUGGCCAGAUACCCCAGUUGCGCAGGGCUUAUCAGGAGUUUGAUGGCCUCUGGGCCUGGGGCAGGGCCAGUCACCAUCUGAAAUGAUAUGCAGGUGUCAUUUAGUCUCCAUUCCAGCAUCCGUGCCUAGUACUGUGCUGGGAAUACAGGUGAUACUCAAUAUAUAUUGUUGAAUUAACGUGUGGAGAGAUGGAGAAGCUGACACGGGCAUUAGGGAGGAGCGCCGAGGUCACCGCCUGACUUGUAACUUGACACUGGCUAGCUGCCCUAUCUGGUCUAGGAUGUGGCAGAUCAACUCCAGACGAGCUUCCCAUCCUGCUGCCUGGUCCCACUGCGAGACUCUCAUCUCCAAGGAACUGCCCGGCGAGAAGGCUGUGUGACCCCUCUCCAGUGCACUGUGGUGGUGGGGAGGAAGGCUGUGGGGAGACCACAGUUUGGCUGAGGCAUUUGGCGGGGAGGGGCCAGGGGCCUGCAACUUGCCUCCUUGAUGCAGGGGUUCCUGUGUAAGAUUCUGUUUGACAAAUGCUUCCAAUU
Talpa occidentalis (Iberian mole) is the source of this 632-nucleotide long non-coding RNA. RefSeq lists it as uncharacterized. NCBI's taxonomy places the organism in Eukaryota, Metazoa, Chordata, Mammalia, Eulipotyphla, Talpidae. The record is from RefSeq and is a predicted model, not a curated record. The transcript has 3 exons.